Molecule: non-coding RNA, 929 nt
Filed under: Sinomicrurus japonicus (Japanese coral snake)
Lineage: Eukaryota; Metazoa; Chordata; Lepidosauria; Squamata; Elapidae
Source: RNAcentral
CAAGGUCUUGGUCUUAAACCUCUUAUUGUCUCAACCCCUUACUUAUACAUGCAAGCCUCCACACAACAGUGAAAUAGCCCACAACAAUACGCCCAACAGAGCAGGUAUCAGGCAUACACCCAUGACGCCAAGCAACCCAUAAGCCACGCCCCCACGGGUUUACAGCAGUAGUUAAUAUUGGGCUAUAAGCGAAAGCUCGACCCAAUAAUGGAGUUUCUAGGGCCGGUUAAUCUCGUGCCAGCGACCGCGGUUACACGACAGACCCAAGACAAUACUGCCGGCGUAAAGCACGACUAAAAAUACGUAACUCCUUAGGGAAAAGGCCGAACUGGGCUGUAAAAAGCCAUAAGUUUAUACCAAACACAAACCCUAACACUUAAACAACUUCAACUCGUGAAAGCAAGGACACAAACUAAGAUUAGAUACCUUACUAUGCCUAGCCAUUACAAAACAGUCAAAUAACUAAUUGUUCGCCAAAUAACUACGAGUAAAAACUUAAAAUUUAAAAGACUUGACGGUACUUCACACCAACCUAGAGGAGCCUGUCUAAUAACCGAUAAUCCACGAUUAACCCGACCCCCACUAGCCCAACAGUCUAUAUACCGCCGUCGCCAGUUUACCUUGUGAAAGUAAUAAAGUAAGCUAAACAUCACUACACUAACACGACAGGUCGAGGUGUAACUAAUGAGGGGGCUAAGAUGGGCUACAUUUUCUACACCAGAAAAAACGAAUAAACUAUGAAACUAGAAACUGAAGGCGGAUUUAGCAGUAAGAUAAGAAUAGAAUACUCAACCGAAAUUAACGCAAUGAAGUGCGCACACACCGCCCGUCAUCCCUGUAAAACACACAAAACCAUCCAUAAAUACACCACUUUUUUAAAGCAGGGCAAGUCGUAACAUGGUAAGCGUACUGGAAAGUGCGCUUAGAAA